RNAcentral lists this ribosomal RNA (492 nucleotides) under uncultured bacterium. Its description in RNAcentral is "partial 16S ribosomal RNA". It matches the Rfam family "Bacterial small subunit ribosomal RNA", at positions 29 to 507 of the family's 1533-position model. The record is from RNAcentral.
AGUGAACGCUGGCGGUAGGCCUAACACAUGCAAGUCGAACGGCAGCGCAGUAAGAGCUUGCUCUUACGGGUGGCGAGUGGCGGACGGGUGAGGAAUACAUCGGAAUCUACUUUUUCGUGGGGGAUAACGUAGGGAAACUUACGCUAAUACCGCAUACGACCUACGGGUGAAAGCAGGGGAUCUUCGGACCUUGCGCGAUUGAAUGAGCCGAUGUCGGAUUAGCUAGUUGGCGGGGUAAAGGCCCACCAAGGCGACGAUCCGUAGCUGGUCUGAGAGGAUGAUCAGCCACACUGGAACUGAGACACGGUCCAGACUCCUACGGGAGGCAGCAGUGGGGAAUAUUGGACAAUGGGCGCAAGCCUGAUCCAGCCAUACCGCGUGGGUGAAGAAGGCCUUCGGGUUGUAAAGCCCUUUUGUUGGGAAAGAAAAGCAGCAGGUUAAUACCCCGCUAUUCUGACGGUACCCAAAGAAUAAGCACCGGCUAACUUCGUG